UCGAACGAACUCUGGUAUUGAUUGGUGCUUGCAUCAUGAUUUACAUUUGAGUGAGUGGCGAACUGGUGAGUAACACGUGGGAAACCUGCCCAGAAGCGGGGGAUAACACCUGGAAACAGAUGCUAAUACCGCAUAACAACUUGGACCGCAUGGUCCGAGUUUGAAAGAUGGCUUCGGCUAUCACUUUUGGAUGGUCCCGCGGCGUAUUAGCUAGAUGGUGAGGUAACGGCUCACCAUGGCAAUGAUACGUAGCCGACCUGAGAGGGUAAUCGGCCACAUUGGGACUGAGACACGGCCCAAACUCCUACGGGAGGCAGCAGUAGGGAAUCUUCCACAAUGGACGAAAGUCUGAUGGAGCAACGCCGCGUGAGUGAAGAAGGGUUUCGGCUCGUAAAACUCUGUUGUUAAAGAAGAACAUAUCUGAGAGUAACUGUUCAGGUAUUGACGGUAUUUAACCAGAAAGCCACGGCUAACUACGUGCCAGCAGCCGCGGUAAUACGUAGGUGGCAAGCGUUGUCCGGAUUUAUUGGGCGUAAAGCGAGCGCAGGCGGUUUUUUAAGUCUGAUGUGAAAGCCUUCGGCUCAACCGAAGAAGUGCAUCGGAAACUGGGAAACUUGAGUGCAGAAGAGGACAGUGGAACUCCAUGUGUAGCGGUGAAAUGCGUAGAUAUAUGGAAGAACACCAGUGGCGAAGGCGGCUGUCUGGUCUGUAACUGACGCUGAGGCUCGAAAGUAUGGGUAGCAAACAGGAUUAGAUACCCUGGUAGUCCAUACCGUAAACGAUGAAUGCUAAGUGUUGGAGGGUUUCCGCCCUUCAGUGCUGCAGCUAACGCAUUAAGCAUUCCGCCUGGGGAGUACGGCCGCAAGGCUGAAACUCAAAGGAAUUGACGGGGGCCCGCACAAGCGGUGGAGCAUGUGGUUUAAUUCGAAGCUACGCGAAGAACCUUACCAGGUCUUGACAUACUAUGCAAAUCUAAGAGAUUAGACGUUCCCUUCGGGGACAUGGAUACAGGUGGUGCAUGGUUGUCGUCAGCUCGUGUCGUGAGAUGUUGGGUUAAGUCCCGCAACGAGCGCAACCCUUAUUAUCAGUUGCCAGCAUUAAGUUGGGCACUCUGGUGAGACUGCCGGUGACAAACCGGAGGAAGGUGGGGAUGACGUCAAAUCAUCAUGCCCCUUAUGACCUGGGCUACACACGUGCUACAAUGGAUGGUACAACGAGUUGCGAACUCGCGAGAGUAAGCUAAUCUCUUAAAGCCAUUCUCAGUUCGGAUUGUAGGCUGCAACUCGCCUACAUGAAGUCGGAAUCGCUAGUAAUCGCGGAUCAGCAUGCCGCGGUGAAUACGUUCCCGGGCCUUGUACACACCGCCCGUCACACCAUGAGAGUUUGUAACACCCAAAGUCGGUGGGGU
This 1408-nucleotide ribosomal RNA is filed under the name Lactiplantibacillus plantarum. RNAcentral describes it as "bacterial SSU rRNA". It matches the Rfam family "Bacterial small subunit ribosomal RNA", at positions 62 to 1436 of the family's 1533-position model. The record is from RNAcentral. Lineage: Bacteria; Bacillati; Bacillota; Bacilli; Lactobacillales; Lactobacillaceae.